GACGAACGCUGGCGGCGUGCCUAAUACAUGCAAGUCGAGCGAAGUUUUUCUGGUGCUUGCACUAGAAAAACUUAGCGGCGAACGGGUGAGUAACACGUAAAGAACCUGCCUCAUAGACUGGGACAACUAUUGGAAACGAUAGCUAAUACCGGAUAACAGUAUUUCUCGCAUGAGAGAUAUUUAAAAGUUGGUUAUGCUAACACUAUGAGAUGGCUUUGCGGUGCAUUAGCUAGUUGGUGGGGCAAAGGCCCACCAAGGCGACGAUGCAUAGCCGACCUGAGAGGGUGAUCGGCCACACUGGGACUGAGACACGGCCCAGACUCCUACGGGAGGCAGCAGUAGGGAAUCUUCCGCAAUGGGCGAAAGCCUGACGGAGCAACGCCGCGUGAGUGAAGAAGGAUUUCGGUUCGUAAAGCUCUGUUGUUAGGGAAGAAUGGAUAUGUAGUAACUAUACAUGUAAGAGACGGUACCUAACCAGAAAGCCACGGCUAACUACGUG
RNAcentral lists this ribosomal RNA (499 nucleotides) under uncultured bacterium. Its description in RNAcentral is "partial 16S ribosomal RNA". It matches the Rfam family "Bacterial small subunit ribosomal RNA", at positions 28 to 507 of the family's 1533-position model. The record is from RNAcentral.